UCGAGAAACCUCCGCAAUGCGAGCAAUCGCGACGGGGGGACCCCAAGUGCCACUCUUAACGGGGUGGCUUUUCUUAAGUGUAAAAAGCUUUCGGAAUAAGGGCUGGGCAAGACCGGUGCCAGCCGCCGCGGUAACACCGGCGGCCCGAGUGGUGAUCGUGAUUAUUGGGUCUAAAGGGUCCGUAGCCGGUUUGGUCAGUCCUCCGGGAAAUCUGAUAGCUCAACUAUUAGGCUUUCGGGGGAUACUGCCAGACUUGGAACCGGGAGAGGUAAGAGGUACUACAGGGGUAGGAGUGAAAUCUUGUAAUCCUUGAAGGACCACCAGUGGCGUAGGCGUCUCACCAGAACGGACCUGACGGCAAGGGACGAAAGCUAGGGGCACGAACC
This 386-nucleotide ribosomal RNA is filed under the name uncultured Methanosarcina sp. Its description in RNAcentral is "bacterial SSU rRNA". It matches the Rfam family "Archaeal small subunit ribosomal RNA", at positions 339 to 725 of the family's 1478-position model. The record is from RNAcentral. Lineage: Archaea; Methanobacteriati; Methanobacteriota; Methanomicrobia; Methanosarcinales; Methanosarcinaceae.